AGAGUUUGAUCCUGGCUCAGAUUGAACGCUGGCGGUAUGCUUAACACAUGCAAGUCGAACGGUAACGGUCCUUCGGGAGCCGACGAGUGGCGGACGGGUGAGUAACGCGUAGGAAUCUGCCUGGUAGUGGGGGACAACUCGGAGAAAUCCGAGCUAAUACCGCGUACGCCCUGAGGGGGAAAGCGGGGGAUCUUCGGACCUCGCGCUAUCAGAUGAGCCUGCGUUGGAUUAGCUAGUUGGUGGGGUAAAUGCCUACCAAGGCGACGAUCCAUAGCUGGUCUGAGAGGACGAUCAGCCACACUGGGACUGAGACACGGCCCAGACUCCUACGGGAGGCAGCAGUGGGGAAUAUUGGACAAUGGGCGCAAGCCUGAUCCAGCAAUACCGCGUGUGUGAAGAAGGCCUGAGGGUUGUAAAGCACUUUCAAUAGGGAGGAAAAAGCGUUGGUUAAUAGCCGAUGCCUUGACAUUACCUAUAGAAGAAGCACCGGCUAACUCCGUGCCAGCAGCCGCGGUAAUACGGAGGGUGCGAGCGUUAAUCGGAAUUACUGGGCGUAAAGCGUGCGUAGGCGGUUAUUUAAGUCAGAUGUGAAAGCCCCGGGCUUAACCUGGGAACGGCAUUUGAUACUGGGUAACUUGAGUUUAGGAGAGGAGAGUGGAAUUUCCGGUGUAGCGGUGAAAUGCGUAGAGAUCGGAAGGAACACCAGUGGCGAAGGCGGCUCUCUGGCCUAAAACUGACGCUGAGGUACGAAAGCGUGGGUAGCAAACAGGAUUAGAUACCCUGGUAGUCCACGCCGUAAACGAUGUCAACUAGCCGUUGGGUCUUUAUUAAGACUUAGUGGUGCAGCUAACGCAUUAAGUUGACCGCCUGGGGAGUACGGCCGC
Molecule: ribosomal RNA, 884 nt
Filed under: uncultured bacterium
Lineage: Bacteria
Description: bacterial SSU rRNA
Rfam family: Bacterial small subunit ribosomal RNA
Source: RNAcentral